RNAcentral lists this transfer RNA (72 nucleotides) under Camelus bactrianus (Bactrian camel). It matches the Rfam family "tRNA". Rfam says of the family: Transfer RNA (tRNA) molecules are approximately 80 nucleotides in length. RNAcentral also lists the same sequence under 2 other names. Lineage: Eukaryota; Metazoa; Chordata; Mammalia; Artiodactyla; Camelidae. The record is from Rfam by way of RNAcentral.
GUGGGUACAGCUCAGUGGUAGAGCGCUUGCUUAGCAUACAUGAGGUCCUGGGUUCAAUCCCCAGCACCUCCG